CAAAAGCUUCGACAGAGUCAACUCCUGUGGUGACCGUACCGGAAACCGACACAGGUGGGCGGGGUGAGAAUCCCAAGGCGCUUGAGAGAACCCUGCUUAAGGAACUCGCAAAAUGACACCGUAACUUCGGGAGAAGGUGUGCCCUCUGUACGUGAAGCCCCUUGCGGGUGGAGCGGAAGAGGGUUGCAGAGAAACGGGGGUAGCGACUGUUUACCAAAAACCCAGCACUGUGCGAAGUCGGAAGACGACGUAUACGGUGUGAUGCCUGCCCGGUGCCGGAAGGUUAAGGGGAGUUGUCAGCCGCAAGGCAAAGCAGCGAACCGAAGCCCCGGUAAAACGGCGGCCGUAACUAUAACGGUCCUAAGGUAGCGAAAUUCCUUGUCGGGUAAGUUCCGACCUGCACGAAUGGCAUAACGACUUCCCCACUGUCUCGAGCAGGGACUCAGCGAAGUAGCACUAGGGGUGAAGAUACCCUUUACCCGCGGCAGGACGGAAAGACCCCGUGAACCUUUACUGUAACUUGGCACUGAACUUCGGGUUCGUUUGCGUAGGAUAGGUGGGACGCUAGGAAGCAUGGACUCCGGUCUGUGUGGAGCGGCCGUUGAAAUACCACCCUGACGAAUCUGGAGUUCUAACCUUCACCCGUGAGCCGGGUGGGGGACAAUGCCUGGUGGGCAGUUUGACUGGGGCGGUCGCCUCCCAAAGAGUAACGGAGGCGCGCGAAGGUUCCCUCAGGCUGAUUGGAAACCAGCCGACGAGUGUAAUGGCAUAAGGGAGCUUGACUGCGAGACUGACAAGUCGAGCAGGUGCGAAAGCAGGUCAUAGUGAUCCGGUGGUUCUGAGUGGAAGGGCCAUCGCUCAACGGAUAAAAGGUACUCCGGGGAUAACAGGCUUAUCACGCCCAAGAGUUCACAUCGACGGCGUGGUUUGGCACCUCGAUGUCGGCUCAUCGCAUCCUGGGGCUGAAGUUGGUCCCAAGGGUUUGGCUGUUCGCCAAUUAAAGCGGUACGCGAGCUGGGUUCAAAACGUCGUGAGACAGUUUGGUCCCUAUCCGCCGUGGGCGCAGGACGCUUGAGAGGAUCUGUCCUUAGUACGAGAGGACCGGGAUGGACGGACCGCUAGUGUUCCGGUUGUGGCGCCAGCUGCAAUGCCGGGUAGCUAUGUUCGGAAGGGAUAACCGCUGAAAGCAUCUAAGCGGGAAGCCCACCUCGAGAUAAGGCGUCCCUGAGACUUCGGUCUCCUGAAGACCCCAUGUAGACCACGUGGUUGAUAGGCUGGGUGUGGAAGCGCUGCAAGGCGCGGAGCUAACCAGUACUAAUCGGUCGUGAGGCUUGACCAC
Molecule: ribosomal RNA, 1339 nt
Filed under: metagenome
Description: bacterial LSU rRNA
Rfam family: Bacterial large subunit ribosomal RNA
Source: RNAcentral